Molecule: ribosomal RNA, 301 nt
Filed under: uncultured bacterium
Lineage: Bacteria
Description: partial 16S ribosomal RNA
Rfam family: Bacterial small subunit ribosomal RNA
Source: RNAcentral
CAGCAGCCGCGGGAAUACGUAGGUGGCAAGCGUUGUCCGGAAUUGUUGGGCGUAAAGGGCUCGCAGGCGGUUUCUUAAGUCUGAUGUGAAAGCCCCCGGCUCAACCGGGGAGGGUCAUUGGAAACUGGGAAACUUGAGUGCAGAAGAGGAGAGUGGAAUUCCACGUGUAGCGGUGAAAUGCGUAGAGAUGUGGAGGAACACCAGUGGCGAAGGCGACUCUCUGGUCUGUAACUGACGCUGAGGAGCGAAAGCGUGGGGAGCGAACAGGAUUAGAUACCCCGGUAGUCCCUGUCUCUUAUAC